AUUGAACGCUGGCGGCAUGCCUUACACAUGCAAGUCGAACGGCAGCACGGGGCAACCUGGUGGCGAGUGGCGAACGGGUGAGUAAUGCAUCGGAACGUGCCAUUGAGUGGGGGAUAACGUAGCGAAAGUUGCGCUAAUACCGCAUAUUCUGUGAGCAGGAAAGCAGGGGACCGCAAGGCCUUGCGCUCUUUGAGCGGCCGAUGUCAGAUUAGCUAGUUGGUGAGGUAACGGCUUACCAAGGCGACGAUCUGUAGCGGGUCUGAGAGGAUGAUCCGCCACACUGGAACUGAGACACGGUCCAGACUCCUACGGAGGCAGCAGUGGGGAAUUUUGGACAAUGGGCGCAAGCCUGAUCCAGCCAUGCCGCGUGAGUGAAGAAGGCCUUC
RNAcentral lists this ribosomal RNA (386 nucleotides) under uncultured bacterium. RNAcentral describes it as "bacterial SSU rRNA". It matches the Rfam family "Bacterial small subunit ribosomal RNA", at positions 30 to 419 of the family's 1533-position model. The record is from RNAcentral.